CCCGCUGAACUUAAGCAUAUCAAUAAGCGGAGGAAAAGAAACCAACAGGGAUUGCCUUAGUAACGGCGAGUGAAGCGGCAAUAGCUCAAAUUUGAAAUCUGGCUCUUUAACAAGGGUUCCGAAUUGUAAUUUGUAGAGGAUGCUUCUGCUUUGGAGUCAAUUAAAGUUCCUUGGAACAGGACGUCAUAGAGGGUGAGAAUCCCGUUUGUGAUUGAAAAUCCUUUGCUAUGUGAAGCUCCUUCGACGAGUCGAGUUGUUUGGGAAUGCAGCUCUAAAUGGGUGGUAAAUUUCAUCUAAAGCUAAAUACCGGCCAGAGACCGAUAGCGCACAAGUAGAGUGAUCGAAAGAUGAAAAGCACUUUGGAAAGAGAGUUAAACAGUACGUGAAAUUGUUGAAAGGGAAGCGCUUGCAAUCAGACUUGCUUAUAUAUUGAUCAUCCAGUUAUUUUUUUUUGACUGGUGCACUCAAUUAUAAUCAGGCCAGCAUCAGUUUAGACGGUUGGAUAAAGGCCUUGGGAAUGUAGCUCUCUUUUGGGGGAGUGUUAUAGCCUUUGGUGUAAUGCAACCUGCCUGGACUGAGGACCGCGCUUUUUUAAGCUAGGAUGCUGGCGUAAUGGUUGUAAGCGACCCGUCUUGAAACACGG
This 643-nucleotide ribosomal RNA is filed under the name uncultured fungus. RNAcentral's name for it is "eukaryotic LSU rRNA". It matches the Rfam family "Eukaryotic large subunit ribosomal RNA", at positions 24 to 664 of the family's 3401-position model. Lineage: Eukaryota; Fungi. The record is from RNAcentral.